This is a long non-coding RNA of Aedes aegypti (yellow fever mosquito), 609 nucleotides long. RefSeq lists it as uncharacterized. The record is from RefSeq and is a predicted model, not a curated record. The transcript is spliced from 2 exons. Lineage: Eukaryota; Metazoa; Arthropoda; Insecta; Diptera; Culicidae.
CGGUUUGACAGUUCGUUUUGCACAUCCGUCACGUCAUAUACACCAGUAUUGUUUUGAAGUUGCACAUACACCGGUUUGCAAAUUCCCAUAAAACUUAUUAAACUUAGUCAACUUAGUUAACCCCCUAAAAUGGUAGUUUUUACCCAAGGGGUGGAUCACUUAUUCAGUGCACAUCAGAUGUGCAUUUAUUUGCAUCAAAUGCAUUUUUUUGGUGUUCACAUCAGCUUAACACUGGCCCAUACCAUCGUAUAGUGCUAUAGCAACACGCCAUUGUUUGUUGUGAUUGUUAUGAAAUUGUCAUAAUCAAGCUUUUUGGAAACCGGAAUAUAUAAUAAGUUUAAAAUCCUGACCGAUGCUUAACUUGGAAACAUCACGAUCAAGCAUCUAAUUACUUGAGGACUUUUCCGUCAAGAACAGUCUAUGCAUACAAAGUGGAGAAAGGAUAAAUGGUUGACAGGAAUAUAUUGACGCACGUUCUGAGGACUAAUCGAAAGUACUCGGAAAUUUCUUCCUAAGAAAUCUAGCUACAGUCUGCUUACCAGUGGAAAAUAGAAAUCUGCAUUGAUUCGCAAAUUAAUGAUUAAAAAUAUAACACAACGAUUUGAAUUA